RNAcentral lists this long non-coding RNA (6062 nucleotides) under Homo sapiens (human). RNAcentral describes it as "HSALNT0036156". Lineage: Eukaryota; Metazoa; Chordata; Mammalia; Primates; Hominidae. The record is from RNAcentral.
GUAUUUUAGAGAAAUAAGAUUUCUGUGGUUACCAUGACCUGCUGUUACAGAUUACAUGGUACCCUCUCUUCAUAUGUUGAAGUCCUAGCCACCCCGCCGAACCUCAGAAUGUGACUGUAUUUGGAGAUAGGGUCUUUACAGAGGAAAUCAAGUUAAAAUGAAGUCAUUAGGGCAGGCCCUAAUCCGAUAUGAUCCUGUGUUCUUAGAAGAGGAAAUGUGGACUCAGGUGUGUAUGGAGGGAAGAUGUCUUGCAAGCCCAAGGAGAAGAUGGCCAUCUGAGCCCACGUCCUGGAACAGAGACUUCCCUCACAGCCUCAGAAAGAACCAGCCCUGCUGACGUCUUGAUCUCAGACCUCCAGCCUCCAGAACUGGGAGACGAUUCAGUCAGCAUCUACACAACACAGGGUUGAACUGUGCGGGUCCACUUCUAUGCAGAUUAUUUUCUUUUUUCUUUUUUGAGACAGAGUCUCGCCCGGUUGCUCAGGCUGAAGUGUAGUGGUGUGAUCUUGGCUUACUGCAGCUUCCACCUCCCAGGUGCAAGUGAUUCUCCUGCCUCAGCUUCCCAAGUAGCUGGGACUAUGGGUACUCGCCACCACACCUGGCUAAUUUUUGUAUUUUUAGUAGAGAUGGGGUUUCACCAUGUUGGUCAGGCUGGUCUUGAACUCCUGACCCCAAGUGAUCUGCCUGCCUUGGCCUCCCAGAUUGCUGGGAUUACAGGUGUGAGCCACCGUGCCCGGCCCUAUAUAACUCUUUGUGCAAGUUUUUACCCCUAAAAGAUAUCUGCCAUCUCAGCCAUGGAACAGACACUGUAAGAACAUGAAGGCUCAAGGGCAGGGCUGGCUACAUAAUUUGUGGGACCCAUUACAAAAUGAACAUGGAGAAAAAACUAGAAAAAAGUGUAGUACAAGGUACUAUAAUAGAUUUUUCCUUUGAAAACAGUUUAAUACUUAUAAAAUGUAAUAGAGGGAAAUAGUGACACGUGAGUAACAAAAUGGGCGUAUCAAUUGGUCUAUGCUAUUUUUGGUGUUAUAAUUUUACCUAAUAUAAUAAGCAGCAACACUUUGUUAGUGAGACGGGCUUUCACCAUGUUGGCCAGGCUGGUCUGGAACUCCUGACCUCAGGUGAUCCGCCUGCCUCAGCCUUCCAAAGUGCUGGGAUUACAGGUGUGAGCCUCUGCGCCCGGCUGUGAUGUCUUGAUUGAUCAUAGGAUUUUUCUGGCUAUUCUAGCUACUUCCAAUUCGCUUCAGCCAAUUUAGUUGAAGUUUUAUCACUUGUGACUUCAGAGUCCUGGUUAAUAUCCUGUUGCCCUCAGGACAUGCAGGAUGGAGGAAGGCACCAGGGAGCCGAGGGAAGUGAGCAGAGAGGCAGUCACUUCAGGGCCACCAGCAUAGCCCCCGUCACUGUCCACAGACACAGGCCCUUCCCCUUCUCAUGGUUGAGCAGGCUCCACCUCACUUCCGUGUAUGACUUCAUAGACCGUUAGGUUCCGUGGUACCCUGGAGUCCACAGCUGCUGAAUCUGAAGGGCCAUCAGAAGACUGGCUUCUCCAUGAUGGUUUAUGGACUAAGGCAAAGAUGAGCAGAGCCAUGGCCCUCUUCUUUGUUCUCUGCUGGAUCCAAGAGUCGGGGGUCUCCCUAUGUUUCCCAGGCUGGCCUCGAACUCCUGACCUCAAGUGAUCCUCCCACCUCAGCCUCCCCGAGUGCUGGGAUUAAAGACGUGAGCCACGGCACCUGGCCUGAAUUUUCCUCAAAUUCAAAAAAUCCUGAUGAAGGUUUGGCUAAAAUCUUUGGUGAGUUACCCCACUCCCUGUGGAACCUCAGGCUGGAUUUGAAGAGUUGCGUGCAUGGUCCUCAUUGUCUCCCAGGUAACCUGUUCCCGCUGCUGUGAAGGGAAGGCAGGUGCUCUUCCUUGAGGCUAGAAUCUGUCUACGUGUCACAGUCUCAGGAAAUUAAGCAAAACAGAUGAUAAACACCUCAAAAGGACCCUACUGAGCAUCAGUGGAGCAGAGCAGGGCCAUGUGGGACUGCGGCGUCAGAUGCCACCUCACACUAGCUGUGACACACCUGCCUCGCCAGUUUCUGCUCUGAGGCCCCAAAGCCGAGCUGAACCUCCUCCAGGGGUUCUCAGCCCUAACUGAGCAUGAAAACCCCUGGGGCAAUCCUCUUUUUAACAAUUGAGACAUUCCACACACACCCCACAUCAGAUUUUGGGGUGUGGGGAUAGACCUUCACAUUUGUAGUUUUCUAACCCUCCAGGGGACACUAGGCUGAGACUCAUUGGUCUCCACUCUGAACCUUCCACUGAACAUGUGAGAAAAACUAAGGCCCAGGGAAGUCUUUAGCAGAGAGCUGAGACGGAGAAAAGGGUUCUGAACCACAGCUGUCUGCUGAAGGAAGCUGUCCAAAGGCCAGUGAAGUCUCUCCUGAGGGUGCCUGGGCUGUGCAUCAGGAGUGAAGGUUGAGGGUCACCUUAGGUGUGAGAAGGAGCAACUGGGAGAGUGGCGCUGAUGCUUCCCCCCGGGUUAGGAGGCAUUUGGAUCACAGAGCGAUGCCUGUUCAUUCCUGCUUGCAAGGGAGCAGAUCUCUCGACACCCGAUGGGCCUCUAUUCCGUUCCGGCAGCUGUCCGUGUCAGGAGCGCUGGGCUUGCUCCUCCCCACGGGAGCCAUCACAGAGGCCUCGGGCAGUCUGCAUAGACAACUGCCUGGCAGGUGACCAGGAGGGGAUGCAUGAGCAGAUGCAGGUAGCACUCGCAGUCCCCCUAGCUGUGCCCUCAGCACCUGCUGUCUAGGAGGCAGAAGCCUUGUUCUCGGCCUUGCAGGUGACCCCAGUGUCUCUGAAUUCGGCCCCAUAUGUGUAGGAGGGGAGUGAUUGCAUCUGAAGAUGGGAGUCUGGUUGGGGGUUUGGGAAGCUCCCAUCACCCCUCAAGAGUCCACUGACCAGCCCAGCUCACACCAGGUGGGCCUUGGCACUGGAGGCCACGGCUCAACUCUGCAGUUCCCUCUGGGCAGCAUUUCCAGGGACUCGUAGGUCAGCAUGGUCAUCAAGGACAGGUGGUGAGAGCAGCUCCUCAUUGUCCUGGUGACCCCGAUGGUUCAUUUUCUGGUGUCUCUGUGGUGAGCUCCUGUUACAUCAAGCGAGUGGAAACCACCGAGGACCAACAGCCCUGGAAAUGCACUGAGAAUGCAGGAUGAGUGGGCUUUGUGAGGACUGUUUUCUGUGACUUAGCAAGGAAAGCCUGGAAGGGAAAGUAAAACUGCUUCUUCCCAGGGAAGCCAGAAACCUGAGAACUUAAAAGGGAAGGAGAACUUAAUAUAUUUCAAAAAUGUAACCCUUGUGAAUUAGCAACAGCUUUAUAAACAAAGAGAUUUCCGAGCUUAUAGAAUCUAUUCUGCUUUGUUUCUGCCCCCAUGGCUCCUACCCCUGUUUUUGUGGGUACAAUUUUCAUAUAGAACAUUUUUACACAAGCUUCAAAACUCUCUGAGGACAGCUUUCCCCUUUGUGUCUGUCGGGUCCCAGGCAGUCACAUCCCAGGAAGUGCUGGGGUUGGGCUCCUUGCUCCACAUCCUUCUUCAGUGGCACGAAGCGUGGGGUGGAGUGUGUGAGUCAUGUGUGAUCUUGGUGUGGGCUAUGGCUGGUCUGCAGCACCCCUUCAAUGACUGCUUCAAGGGCUUUUCAUGAUGCUUGUAGCUCAUGAGCUAGUGUUUCCUAGAUGCUGUUUCCAGGUGUCUUGCAUGUCACACACUGGCCUACCAGGGCUGGAGUGAGAUCAUGAGCGCCAGAUUGUUGGUGAAGGAAGUUGACAGAGACAUCGAAUGUCGGUGAACAGGAGUGACCUUGGGUCUCAAUAAAUACUGUGGUCAACUGAAUCCAGAACCCACCCUUACCAGCAGGGCCCACUUCUUCCCCAGCAGGCCGAGCUCUUCCCCUCCUGUCUUCCCUGGCCCUUGCUUUGUAGCUCUGUGUGGCUGUGUCAUGUCUGGUUGUAUCUGUAUAUACUUCUGCCUCUCCCGCUAUCUAGAUGGCUCGGGGAGGCACACCACACACCAGGUCACCUUCCUCUCUGAACCCCCAGCACCUCAUACUGUUUCUGUGCAGAGAUAAGGCUGGGUGAAAGCUUGUGUGAAUGAUCUGAAGUCUUCUACUCUAGGCCAGUCUCCAGGAGCAUUAUGAUCUUUAGGAGGGUGGGCUUGGUUCCUCUGUACAAUAAUGGGUCAUAAAACUGAGUGGUCAAGAUCAUCCCGGUGAGGGCAGUCCGUGUGUUGCCAUAGUUGCUGUACCGGUUAAGAAUGCACCUGGCUGCAAUUUCCUGAAAACCUGACGUAUAGUGGCUUAAACAAAGAGUGGUUUAUUUUCCUUCUGUCAUAGCAAUCUGGGGGAGGCCACUGUGGCUUUGGCGCAGGAGGUCGGGAAAGGCCCGCUUCUCUGAUAUCAUUGGGGGCCUCCCCAGUGCUUGUGUGGCAGAAUGACAAGAGGAAGAAGAAGGAGAAUUAUGGCACUGAGUAUCAUGAGAUUUGGGGUCAUAUAUCUUUAGUGGGCGGUGUUUGCUGCCCCAAAUGUCUCAUGCCAUUAAAAUGUUCUGGAAAUGAUUUAGGUAGUUGGAGUUUCCUUCCCAAAGACAAGGCAUUUACAGCAUGAUGUCCAAUAUCCAUUGAGUUUGUGUCAUGCAUUCAUUGUAUUCAUAGUCUGCUUUAGGUACUUAGCAAAAUAUUGCUGAUAUUAACAUGCCUUUGUUUGCUUCACUGGAGAUGAAAUUGUGCUCCAAGUGUUUUCCAAGGUUCCGUAUGACCCAUCAUUUGAUGAAACAAGAACAGCAGUCAGAUCCAUUACAAAGAGAGACACACAAAAAAGCUAUUCCCAACAGAAGAGCUUGAACAAUGCUGCAUUUGCAUCAGGUUCAAAUGAGCGAGAGGAACAUUUGGCUAAAAUAUUUGAUGAAAUUCUACUGCAGGUGUUUCCAAAGUUUCCGUAUGACCCAUCAUUUAACGAAGCAACAGCAGUCAGAUCCAUUACAAAGACAGACAUGAGAAAAGGAACCAGCAUUGCUUGGAAUUCUCCUAAACCAGAAUAUUUCCUUGGCAGUGUGGACAAAAUUCCUGAUAAAGAGAUGGGGUUUCACUGUGUUAGCCAGGAUGGUCUCGAUCUCCUGACCUCAUGAUCCGCCCGCCUCGGCCUCCCAAAGUGCUGGGAUUACAGGCGUGAACCACCAUGCCCGGCCCAGAAUGUCCUUUCUUUUCGAAGCGGAGUAAUAUUCCAUUAUCACCUUUCAGAGGAGAAGAAUUUUAAAGAAUCCUGUCUGUUCGACAGGGAUUUAAGAGAGCAGUUAACUACUAUAGAUAAAGAAACACUUCAAGGAGCAGCUAAACCAGAUCUCCUCUGGCAAACACGACAUAUAAUAUUUUUAUAAUGGAUGGAAAGACAUGGUGGCACAAUUCUGAAGAAAAAAAUUUCACAAAACUUGCAAAAAAACAGAAACAGUUGAAGAGCAGCUCCUGUGUCUAAGCCAGGUCGUGGGGCCGUCAAACCAGGACUUGAAACCACAAUGCGAGGACAUUCUCCAUCUGCGCACCACAGGGAGGCAAUUCCAUUUCUGCCCGGGAGGUGUAUUCUACAAAAACGUCUGCUUCCCAUCCCAAUUUGAAUGGACCAAGAAAAACUGCUUUACCAUAGGACACUUGUGGCAAUAUGGCACCGAUGGCUGGCGUCGGUGAACCCGACAGACUAUGGAUUUAUCAUUUAAUAAAGCAUUGAUUCAUUUUUUCAGUCAUUCAUUGAACAGAUAUUAAUAGACCACCUCACAUGCUGACAAUAUCAAAAUACAAUGAGGAAACUAACAGUGACCCAGGCAUGCAUUCUUCCCCGAGCAAGAUCACAGUCCAUGGUGUGAGCACAACCAUACUAAAUAGCUUUUAUGGGAGGUGGGAGUACAGAAAGUAUUAUAUCUGCAAAGAAACUGCUAAGAAUUGUGGGAGCGCCCCAGGAGGUGAUUUCCUGCUUGCGUGACCAGCACAAAGAAAUGGGGUAAUUGAGAGUGUCAUGAAGUGGGGUUAUUUAUUUAUUGAGUC